ACACCCGAAGACACACCUUUUUCUCUAGGUUCGCAGUUUCGAGCAUUCCUGCAGGAAAAUUUCAAAAGCAUGGAACGAGAUGCCAUCUGCCCACCUUGCCCGUCGUCCCCUAGAGAACGAUCAUCUGGAGCUAAUGGAGCUGGUGGACAUCCCCGAGGAAAGCUAACCACGAACCCGUUCUUCAACUUCCUGCGGGACUAUCGAGGAAAGCACCCGAAUCUAUCGGUUGUGGAUGCGGCCGUGGAAGGUGCCAGCGUUUGGAACCGUAUGGGCCCGGAAGAGCGUGCACCAUAUGUGAAGCAGGCCUGUGGACAUCCCCAGCGAGUUACGCCCUGCGGUGUGCAAAGUCCCAGGUCCGGGUCGCGGAAACUAUCCAGGGCAAGUUCUCGGGGAAGACGAGUCAGCAGGUCGGCAAGCCGCAGAGGACGCAAGCGCAACCGAAGCUCAAGCUCUGGAGGUCGAAGUCGGAGUCGGUCCAAGGCCCGUCGUGCUCGACGAUGCUGACGAGGGGCAAGCAAAAUUGUAACGUAGUAUAUUAUAUUUUGAUAGAAAAUUAUUAAGAAACAUUAAAUCUGCUGUAAGUACAAAUG
Molecule: long non-coding RNA, 590 nt
Filed under: Aedes aegypti (yellow fever mosquito)
Lineage: Eukaryota; Metazoa; Arthropoda; Insecta; Diptera; Culicidae
Description: uncharacterized LOC125556655 (LOC125556655)
Source: RNAcentral